AGAGUUUGAUUCUGGCUCAGGACGAACGCUGGCGGCGUGCUUAACACAUGCAAGUCGAACGGAGUACCCUCGAAAGAGAUUUCGGUCAAUGGAGAGGACUACUUAGUGGCGGACGGGUGAGUAACGCGUGAGGAACCUGCCUUUCAGUGGGGGACAACAGUUGGAAACGACUGCUAAUACCGCAUAACGUACGGGUAUCGCAUGGUACUGGUACCAAAGAUUUAUCGCUGAGAGAUGGCCUCGCGUCUGAUUAGCUAGUUGGUAGGGUAACGGCCUACCAAGGCGACGAUCAGUAGCCGGACUGAGAGGUUGGCCGGCCACAUUGGGACUGAGAUACGGCCCAGACUCCUACGGGAGGCAGCAGUGGGGAAUAUUGGGCAAUGGGCGCAAGCCUGACCCAGCAACGCCGCGUGAAGGAAGAAGGCUUUCGGGUUGUAAACUUCUUUUGACAGGGAAGAGCAGAAGACGGUACCUGUCGAAUAAGCCACGGCUAACUACGUGCCAGCAGCCGCGGUAAUACGUAGGUGGCAAGCGUUGUCCGGAUUUACUGGGUGUAAAGGGCGUGUAGCCGGGCUGA
RNAcentral lists this ribosomal RNA (577 nucleotides) under uncultured bacterium. RNAcentral describes it as "bacterial SSU rRNA". It matches the Rfam family "Bacterial small subunit ribosomal RNA", at positions 8 to 583 of the family's 1533-position model. The record is from RNAcentral.